UGGCAUUGUCCCCAGGAAGGUAACAGUGUCCCUGGAAGGGUGGGUGGGUCACUGGUAAGGUGGCAGCAUCCUCAGGAGGGUGGUGAUGUCUCCAGGAAGAUGGCAGUGUCCCCAGGAAGUUGGCAGUGUCCCCAGGAAGGUGGCAUUGUCCCUGGGAAGCCCCAUGAGCCUGUGCUGCUGUUCCUGCCGUUCCUGCUGUUCUGACCUUGAUGUCCCUGGGCUUUGUUGGUGUCGCGUGUCCCACCCCCCGCCCCGUGUCCCUGCAGCAGUGGGGGCUGUUGGAGAGGCACAGUCAGAGGGAUGCUUUGGGAAUGGCCAGGUGACAUCAGGGACACCGAGGGACACAGGGGCUGGGCAAGUGCGGGGUCAGGAAGCCCCCACGGGGUCUGGUGGGGCAGAGGGCUCUGUCCCUGUGUGCCCGUCCUGCCCGCAGGGGGUGGGACAGCGCGGGCAGCACUGAGCCCCGGGCACUCUGUGGGGCAGAGCACUCCCCAGGGACUGCCACCUGCCUUUGGGUGGCACCAGCAUUGCUGUGGCUCUGGAACUGCACCCUGGCACUGCACCCUGGCAUGGGUGCAGCCCUGACAUCACAACCUGGCAUUGCCCCUGGCACGGGGGCAGCUCCCCUGCCAUGUGCCCUCAGGAGCUCCUGCCCACCUGGGGUUGCUCCGCUCUCAGCAAGGGACAUGGUGACAUGGUGACAUGGUCACCCUCUGUCAUCACACAGCCUCGCCCUGCGGGUCCCCUGGGAGGGGCGGGGCAGCUGGUGUCACCACCGGCUCGGGUGGGGUGGCAUGGAGCGGGGUGACAUCCCUGGUGGUGGCACUAACACGGUGCCAGCCCCGGCGGGUGUCCUGCCCCCGAGCCCCCGCCGCAGUGUCCCCCAUCACUGUGCCCUCCCGCAGGUCUGCUCCGUUUUGAGGUCCCCUCCCUCCACGUCCCCCCGGAUGCUGCCCAGUGCCGGGACCCGCCGGAGGCAGCGCAGAGACUCUCGGGGCCGAGCCUGACCCCCCGGCAGGAGGAGGAGGAGGAGGAAUCAGAGAGCACAGCCCUAUGACAGUGUCCCUGUCCCCAAGCUCAUCCGUGCGGCACCCCGGGGCCAGCACCGGCCACCGGCACCGAGGGCCACGGGCGCGCCAGUUUUGGGUGGCAAAGCGCCCGGUUUGGGGGCGGUCGCUGUUCUUUAUUUCAUUUUUUUUCGCCUUAUCCAGACUUUGCCUUUCGACCGGGUGCCUGCACCCCCCGCCCCGCAGCACCCACCGUCCUGGGGCGACGCCACCACCUCCUCCGUGCCCCGGCGGCGGGUGCCACUGGGCACCAGCCAGGUGACAACGAGCUCGCCGGCGCUUUGCAGUGGGAUUUCGUUCCUUCGGCUUCUUCCCCCACCGCUUGUUUGCCGGAGCAGGAUGGGACCUGACCAGCAAUAACCUGGGCACGUGCAGGAUGUGGCCCCCCCCCGGGCUCUCGGGGUGCUGGCGGGUGAGGGUGCACGUCCCUUGGCACCCGCUGUCCCUGUGGGUUGGUGGCUUUGGUCGUGCAUGCACAGACAAAUUAACCUUUUAUCCUUUCCAGAGAGAGAAGAUUCUAUAUAUAUAUAUAUCGGCAGAGAUAUAUAUAUAUUAUAUAUUUGUAUAUAUAGAGAGAGAAACUAUAGAGAGAUUUGUUUUAUUUGGAGCCAUUCCCGCCCAGCCGGUGCGAGAGGGAGGAUGGAAAUGGCAGCGCUUCGCCCCCGCCCCGCUCGCGCCGUGCCCCUCGCCCCAGGUGGGCACCCGGGGGGCACCAGCACCCCGAAGCAAUCAAUAAAUCCAAUAAAUCCGUGUGCCACUCGCUGAGAA
Long non-coding RNA from Neopelma chrysocephalum (saffron-crested tyrant-manakin), 1835 nucleotides. RefSeq lists it as uncharacterized. The record is from RefSeq and is a predicted model, not a curated record. The transcript is spliced from 3 exons. Lineage: Eukaryota; Metazoa; Chordata; Aves; Passeriformes; Pipridae.